Molecule: unclassified non-coding RNA, 182 nt
Filed under: uncultured Cladophialophora
Lineage: Eukaryota; Fungi; Ascomycota; Eurotiomycetes; Chaetothyriales; Herpotrichiellaceae
Description: sequence contains ITS2
Source: RNAcentral
UCACCCCUCAAGCCUAGCUUGGUAUUGGAUGGUCGGUCGUGGUACCCCCCACAACCCCUCCUAAAAGUAAUGACGGCGGCCUGUUGCACCCCCGGUACAUUGAGCUUCUUCAUUGAGCACGUAUCGGUUUAAAAGGGUGGUGGGACCCCGGUCUUCUUCCUUAACUGGAAAAACUUCACUAA